AGAGUUUGAUCCUGGCUCAGAACGAAUGCUGGCGGCACGCUUAACACAUGCAAGUCGAACGGAUGGUAGCAAUAUCAUUAGUGGCGAACGGGUGAGUACAAAGUAGGAACCUGCCCUUGGGUAGGGGAUAACUAUGGGAAACUAUAGCUAAUACCCUAUAAGCCCUUUGGGGGAAAGAUAUAUUGCCGAAGGAAGGGCCUACGUCGGAUUAGGUAGUUGGUAGGGUAAAAGCCUACCAAGCCUGAGAUCCGUAGCUGGUCUGAGAGGACGAUCAGCCACACUGGGACUGAGACACGGCCCAGACUCCUACGGGAGGCAGCAGUGGGGAAUAUUGGACAAUGGGGGCAACCCUGAUCCAGCGAUGCCGCGUGAGUGAUGAAGGCCUUCGGGUUGUAAAGCUCUUUUGCACGCGACGAUGAUGACGGUAGCGUGAGAAUAAGCCCCGGCUAACUCUGUGCCAGCAGCCGCGGUAAUACAGAGGGGGCUAGCGUUGUUCGGAAUGACUGGGCGUAAAGGGCGCGUAGGUGGCUCUACAAGUCAGAUGUGAAAGGCCUAGGCUUAACCUGGGGAUGGCAUUUGAGACUGUAAAGCUAGAGUCCGGGAGAGGAUAGCGGAAUUCCUAGUGUAGAGGUGAAAUUCGUAGAUAUUAGGAAGAACACCGGUGGCGAAGGCGGCUAUCUGGAACGGAACUGACACUGAGGCGCGAAAGCGUGGGGAGCAAACAGGAUUAGAUACCCUGGUAGUCCACGCCGUAAACGAUGAGUGCUAGACGUUGGAAGGUUUACCUUUCAGUGUCGCAGCUAACGCAUGAAGCACUCCGCCUGGGGAGUACGGUCGCAAGAUUAAAACUCAAAGGAAUUGACGGGGGCCCGCACAAGCGGUGGAGUAUGUGGUUUAAUUCGACGCAACGCGAAGAACCUUACCAGCUCUUGACAUGGGAAGUAUGGGUCACAGAAAUGAGAUCCUUCAGUUCGGCUGGCUUCACACAGGUGCUGCAUGACUGUCGUCAGCUCGUGUCGUGAGAUGUUGGUGUUGAGUCCCGCAACGAGCGCAACCCCCAUGUUCAGUUGCCAUCAGGUUAAGCUGGGCACUUUGAACAAACUGCCGGUGAUAAGCCGGAGGAAGGCGGGGAUGACGUCAAGUCCUCAUGGCCCUUACGGGCUGGGCUACACACGUACUACAAUGGUGGUGACAGAGGGACGCAAUAGGGCAACCUGGAGCAAAUCCUCAAAAGCCAUCUCAGUUCAGAUUGUUCUCUGCAACUCGAGAGCAUGAAGUUGGAAUCGCUAGUAAUCGCUAAUCAGCAGGUAGCGGUGAAUACGUUCCCGGGCCUUGUACACACCGCCCGUCACACCAUGGGAGUUGGUUCUACCUGAAGCUGGUGUUGCUAACCGCAAGGAGGCAGCCAACCACGGUAGGGUCAGUGACUGGGGUGAAGUCGUAACAAGGUA
RNAcentral lists this ribosomal RNA (1451 nucleotides) under metagenome. RNAcentral describes it as "bacterial SSU rRNA". It matches the Rfam family "Bacterial small subunit ribosomal RNA". The record is from RNAcentral.